RNAcentral lists this long non-coding RNA (375 nucleotides) under Pogona vitticeps (central bearded dragon). RNAcentral describes it as "lncRNA (ENSPVIG00000014851.1)". Lineage: Eukaryota; Metazoa; Chordata; Lepidosauria; Squamata; Agamidae. The record is from RNAcentral.
CAAAUAUGACAUCCAUGGGUUGAUUGAUAUGAUUUAUAUUGUUCCUUACUCUCAGAACUAGAACUGAGAAUGAUUUACAACAAAAUAAAAAACCAGUGGAUACAAACAGAUUCUUCUACCACAACACUGCCCGGUGCGACCACAGAAGAGACUCCUGGCACCAUUGAACCCGUGGUGCUGACAACCGAGUCUCCUGACAUGACAGGGAAGCCUGGGUGGUGUCCUGUGCGAAAGUUGCCUCAUCCCCAUCAUGGCCGACCUCAUAAACAAAAGAAACAGAAGAAGUUCCGUUUCUCUUCAAAAGAGGACACAGGCAACCAAAAGAGGACAAAGGCAACCAAGAAGUGGACACAAUACGUUUUCGAAAAUAUGUGA